RNAcentral lists this non-coding RNA (94 nucleotides) under Fusarium graminearum PH-1. RNAcentral describes it as "Gibberella zeae PH-1 Eukaryotic large subunit ribosomal RNA". It matches the Rfam family "Eukaryotic large subunit ribosomal RNA", at positions 2893 to 2984 of the family's 3401-position model. Lineage: Eukaryota; Fungi; Ascomycota; Sordariomycetes; Hypocreales; Nectriaceae. The record is from Rfam by way of RNAcentral.
UCGAGCACGGACCGAAGCAGAAUUCGGUAAGCGUUGGAUUGUUCACCCACUAAUAGGGAACGUGAGCUGGGUUUAAACCGUCGUGAGACAGGUU